Molecule: long non-coding RNA, 5927 nt
Organism: Athalia rosae (coleseed sawfly)
Lineage: Eukaryota; Metazoa; Arthropoda; Insecta; Hymenoptera; Athaliidae
Exons: 2
Source: RefSeq, a predicted model, not a curated record
UAGCGUAAAUACUAAUUGUAAUUCCGGUAAGAUCUCCUUCCUUUGGAUUGCUGAUCUGCGUUGGUUUUCCAUUUCAUCACCCAUCAUCUGAUAAGAUUUGGCAAACACGUAUUAACCGAUCGAAAAUAUGCAAUAAUUCACGGUCCAGCUCGUUAUUUCUCUGUGUAAUCUAUGAUCUGUUGCUUCAUUUGCAUCUACAAUGAAAAGCUGACCAUAACUUGGAAUGUCAUUCACUGCUGGAUACAACGCAGUAUUUACUUGAUAAUAUAUUUGUCCAUGAAUUUUGAAACAAUACGGUCCAUUACGUGUUUCCCUGAAGUUAACCAAGUUAGCGUUGAACGAAGCAAAACAAACGGAACUAUUAUAACUUCUUAUUCUUUCGAAAAAAUGUCUUGAUUUAAGAUGACGAUUUUCAAAUAACUCUCGUAAUUCAUUCGGCGGAUUUGGUAUUUGCUCGAGGACCACGUCUCCAUGUGAACAACAAUCAUUGAAAGUGUUUUUAUUUGAUAUCCAUUCAACCGCAAAAUGUUUAGCAGAACACUUACCACACAACAUGUUCAUUGGACCAAUGUAAUGCUGUUCGAAUUCAUCAAGAGACUCGGUAGAGUCUCGCGCCAAGUACAUACAUACAUUCAAAAGAAAAAGGACGCGCGGACUACCGAUCAAGAGACUCGGUAGAGUCUCGCGCCAAGUACAUACAUACAUACAUUCAAAAGAAAAAGGACGCGCGGACUACCGAGUAUCUGUACCGGUAGGGGAUAGGAAAAACGCUAUAGCGCCGACUGUUUUAUUAAGUAUUUUCCUAAAUCAUUAGCUUUCUGGUAAAUUUGAAUACACUUUUGCGAUAUAAUGUGAAGUGAAACUUUCAUUUGAGCCUGAAUUGAACGGAAUUGGUGGUCGGAGAGUUGAGAUCUGAUAAUCUUUGAUCACCGGCAGACUCAUUUCAUCAGAUUCACCAUCGUCGUCAUCAUCGUAACAUCCGCUUAUAUUUUUGCGAAUAAGAAACCUUUUCACAUAAAUGUGAUACAUGUGACACCGCAAAGUAGUAACUGUCGCGAGUGAGAAAGGUUCUACUUUCUGCCGUCUGGCAGGUAGUGUCAGCGCACCGAGUUUGCAACCACACAGCGAAUCCUAUUCGUUAACCCCCAGAAAGGCAGCGUUUUGAUUGGAUACCGAUCACCGCGCUGGAUGCUUGAGGGAUAUACAGAACUAGCGGAAGUGAAAUGUCCGUCGUCUGUUGGCAAGGCUAUCAUGGCGGCCGUAACGUGACAGAGAUAGAUUCGUGAUCGCUGGAACGUAGGACGUAUGGUUGUACGGUACAUGGCCCGUGACAGACCUUUCAGUUUCGCAAAUGAACCUAAAUAAGCGCAGCUCGUUUAUCCACCUUAUCGAUAAUUGGAACGUCGGAAGUUCACUCGUCAGAAGGUCGACUACUUGUAAGGUUACGAGGUGACAGCUCGUAAGUAAACGGUAAUCGUCACCGGCAGUGAACGCGUAAUAAAGUUUCCAAUGCAUCGCAAUGCAGACGUAUUGAAUUAAAUAAGCAGGCCGUUCAAGGUCGUCGUAUCUGCAAAGCAAUUAUGUGGGUAACAAACAUCAUGGAUGCAAGACGAUCACAAACUUUGCAUUUCUAACGUGCCCACUGUAUCGAAUCAGAACUAACAUCUUCCCCCAAUUCCCAAGCACAUCGAUAUUGGAAAAUACAGCAGCUCACAUUCCGGUGUUACAAAUCAAGGGUCCCUAAUCCCACAGGCAAAAACCAACGUCGAAUGAUCCAACACCACCACCUGGAUAUUACAAAAAGACGCUUUCCCUCCUGGCACGUCACAAACUUGAGUGUUCCUUUCCAAUCCUACUCGGUUCUGAAUACUCUAACAGAAUCAGAGGCAGAAAGACUCGCCAACACAGAAGUCUUCCGCCGAUGCUUCUCAUCGUUACACAUCGCAGUCCACAACACCCAACAUAUUUCCCCAGGAGUUCAUCCAUACCAAAGGAUCCUACUUCCAUAGGUGUACCGACACCUACAAAUUCAUCGGCACUACCUAUACAAAUCCGUGAAAGAAGGUACCUCUCCAGAAACGUAACGAACGCAAAGCUCCUCUUCAAUCCCACCCGCUCAACAAAGAUCCAAGGACCCGGAACCGCGGAAGACUAUGCAAAACAAAGAAAGUCUACAUCCAACAAGGUCCGACGCAAGGUAAAAUCCCGAUCAUGCACUAGGGAGUUCUCGGUAAGCCAACUACGACCUUUGUCUUUCAUUAGUGCUUACUGCAUCGAUUCAUCACAACUACCAUGUGACCAUUUCCUAUCAGCACUUCAAUGUCAAAGAAUCCAACAAGUGUUCAUGAGUCGGUCGUUUUAUUAACACUUUUCCUUAUAGUUCAUAUCAUAACCAACACCUUCCUUUUUUCCAAUAGCGUACAGAUGUAGAACGAUUCGUCAGAACCUGAUCCAUUGCAACAAACCAAGAGCCUUUUCCCAAAGACCAAUUCUGAGCGAACUGAUGCUGAAAAAUCCGGAGCUUACUUUCACCUCACCUCACCUGAAAGAAACCAAUUUCUCUCAUGGCACAUCACCCACGAAAAACACCUUCCUCAGCGCGAUUCUACCCGGCAACGAGAACGGUAGCGAAUCAAAAGGUGAACGAACCUUCUAAACGUAGAUCUAUUUCGGAUAAAUCUUGCGAAAUCGAGUCCAGGCCAUCGGACCAACGAUUUCUUGUAAUUCAAGUACGAUAUUCAUUAUCACUCUCUAAACUUGCCGUACGAAUCCGUAAUGCCUAACACCAUCCUCUCUCCUCCUAGCAUACCGAUAACGAUGGAAAAAUUGGUUCCCGUCCCGAUACCAGCAAAUCAAAAGUUCCUGUACCCUCAAACAAAGGGCCGCCGUAAAAUUCAGAGUCUACCUCACGCUACUCGGAAAAAGACGGUCUUUUUUCUGGCCCUUCACACAACACGAGCUCUGCCGUAAACGUAUGCGCUGAUCAAAGCUGUUGUUGAACGAAAUGGUUGAAGAUCCAUUGAAUUAACGAUACAUCAACGAUGGCUAGACGCUGUCUUGUAGUCACCUAGGGAACCUAUUUUAUCGACUCGCAAGCAUUUUCCUCAGAUGCCGACGCACUGGAACAAAUGAGCAUGCAUGCCGAUGCCUCACGCAACAACCGGCACAUCGAUUAACGUUGUGACGAAGGGUAUCGAAAGAAAAGUGUGAAAUUCGUGCGGAAGCGUUUGUUUACGUAAUUCAUGUUACCGGCAAUAACAAACAACAUCCACCACUAGCCAAUGUCGACGACUACCGUGCGCGUCUCGUAAAAGUGGCCGCGAUCUACGCUUGCGUCAAAAUAUUCGAAUUUCGCAGUCCACGAGCGAGCACGAGCCUUGCUGGAGAUAACGUAAUCACCGGCGUAGGCGUCUUGUUGUGGGAUGUCACCCGCGAGAGCUGAUUCGACAGUAGAUCAGCCCUUAUAAGUGACAUCUCACAACAUUAUGCCUACGCCGGUGGCUACGCUGACUCCAGCAAUAACAAGGCUCGGGCUCGCUCGGAGACUGAGAAAUUCGAAUAUUUCGACGCAUGCUCUGAUCGCGGCCACUUUCACGUGAAACGCACGGUAUAAGCAUGUCAUGUGAGCGGAGUACUGUGUCCCAAAGUAAUUGCUGUACAUGAUAAGCAUUAGAAUGAUUGAUCUAUUUGACGUAGCAGUGAUUGCAAUGAAUGGUAAUAAAUGGGUAUUCGAAACAAAAGACACCAUCAAUGUUAUUUUCAGUUCUGGCGUUGCAUUGAAAUUGCUGUAUUGUAGUCAUCUGAAGGUCAAGGACGGUUGAAGCGGUAUCCAAAUGUCAAAGGAAAAUCGAAGCGGGUUUCCAUAUAGCGACGGGGCAAAAUAAGGUACCGUUGACAGACCAACUUGUUAUAUAACUGGUUGUAUAACCAGAAUGUUAUAAUAAUUGGCAAUCAGAAAUCGAAAUCAUCGUUCGAAUAAAUGUCAGGCUAAUCAAAUAAGCGUAUCGAAACAAAAUACAAGGGCAAAUAAUGCUCUAUAUCCUCCCCGAACACCGUCCAUAGUCAAAAGUCAGGCUUAAGACUGACUAUCGUUGUUUACAAAACAAAGAUCUUCAGUCAAUAACCGAUUAUAAUUCGGGGGUAAGUUCAGUAGGCGGAUAUAAAUAAAACGAGCAUCGUCCGGCAAUGUCGACAUUAUUGACGAGGAGGAUCAUAUGUCAGACGUUCAUCUUAUUCUUGCAGCGUCAAAUGUGAAAAUCAAACAUUGUCCAUAAGUACAACAAAAUAUUUAACGCAUCAAAUUAACAAUACCGACACAAUUACGAUUGACAAGGAGGGAACUCGUUGAAUAAUCCGUAAUUGUAAUCAGCAGAGAUCGCGGAGAUGAAAAUGAUUUCAAUUCAAGAUUUAUGGCUGUACGAACUGCAGCCCAAUCAUGUCCAGGUCACCUGUCUAGCAAUCAUUUCUGAGCCAACUACAAUAUAUGCCCUUCGUCAUACCAAGUAUACUGAUUCAUGAAGUUUAAUAUUACGUUCUCUCAUUUAAGCAUACCGAUAUUGAAGGACGUAUCAGUUUCAAUUCCAAUACCACAAACCAAAAGUUACUGCUUUCUCAAACAAAUAAACUGAAGUUGAAGUGAAUCAAAUGUAUGAAGUUAAAAAAUCUCUACGUUACCCUUUGGUAUAAUCUGCAGCCAGACUGAAACCUGGUCAUCUGCUUUGCAGUUGUUAAUAAGUCAACCAUAAUUGUUUUCUUUUAGUUCAUACUCACUGUACUCAUUCAUUAUGACUAACGCUCUCCUCUCACCCACAAUCAUACGGAUUAUGAAAGAAGUAUCAUCUGCUGUUUUGGUAUCACAAAUCAAGCUAACUGAUGCGGCUCAAUUGGACUUUUACUACCAUCUUACCGAAAAGGAACUGAUCUCUCUCUUGGUAUGUUGUCAAACGUUUAUGAGAUGCAGCUUGGAAUCCAAGAUCCAUUUCGUCAAACAAAUGAUCCAAGGAUAAUGCGCCUGGUGACUUGUAAUAUAAUUGCACAAAUACACCUAGUGAACUGAAAAACCGUGUAAGCCAAUUCGCAAAAUAGCAGCUAUCAAGCCUUUAUUCAAAUUGGACACAUGAUCUGAUGUACAGGGCCGGAUUUAAAUUUUUGCCGCCCUUGGGCACUUAAAAAAUACCGCCCUAUCACUGAAAUUUUACUUAAAGUUAUACAGUUUUGACAUCUUAUUUUUGAAAAAUCAAAGUCUUUAAUCUAUUGCAAACAAUUUACUAUGUAUUAAAUACUUUAACAUAACAUAUAAAAAUAAUUGUGUUUAGAAUAAACGUUAGAUCUAUCUAUUAAAUAAUAAAUGAUUAAUUGAAGGAAUGAAAAAAACCUAUUAAAAAAUUUUGAUAAAACUAAAAAAAAUUUUUUCCAGUUUCUAAAUUUUGCCGCCCCAAAAAAUUUGCCGCCCUGGGCACUAGCCCCGACUGCCCCUAGUGUAAAUCCACCGCUGCUGAUGUAUAUAAACUCAACCUAUAUGUAGAGUAACUAAUCGUUAGAAUAGAAACGCAUAGUACUUCACGGAAUCUUUUGAUAAUUGCUUAACUCAGAUGUGGUAGUAGCUGAAUGUUUCCUCACCCGAUGAUCAUCCUACCACAAUAGGAUACUAAAGAAACCGUAAUCAAUACUGCAAUAUUCUUUGAGAACAUACAAAAAGUUAUGAAAUCCCACAAAAGGCACCUACGGUGCAAAAAAGUUCGCCAAGUACAUCAAAUGUUCAACAGGAACUACCAUCAAAAUAUAUCUCAUGAUUAAUUAGAAGAAUGCAUGAAUAAUAGAAAAAAAAGAAUCCAAAUCAAUUACUGUGCCAAGUACAUGGAACUUUGCUACACGAAUAGAAAUUCUAGAGAAGAUUGGAAUAAAAAUGAAACAACCCUAAUAAUUAA